RNAcentral lists this ribosomal RNA (356 nucleotides) under uncultured bacterium. Its description in RNAcentral is "bacterial SSU rRNA". It matches the Rfam family "Bacterial small subunit ribosomal RNA", at positions 8 to 353 of the family's 1533-position model. The record is from RNAcentral.
AGAGUUUGAUCAUGGCUCAGGAUGAACGCUAGCUACAGGCUUAACACAUGCAAGUCGAGGGGAAACGAUAUUGGAAGCUUGCUUCCGAUAGGCGUCACCGGCGCACGGGUGAGUAACGCGUAUGCAACUUGCCUAUCAGAGGGGGAUAACCCGGCGAAAGUCGGACUAAUACCGCAUGAAGCAGGGGCCCCGCAUGGGGAUAUUUGCUAAAGAUUCAUCGCUGAUAGAUAGGCAUGCGUUCCAUUAGGCAGUUGGCGGGGUAACGGCCCACCAAACCGACGAUGGAUAGGGGUUCUGAGAGGAAGGUCCCCCACAUUGGUACUGAGACACGGACCAAACUCCUACGGGAGGCAGCA